AAUACUGAUAAAAUAAGAUAACUAUAUUAUAUUUAUGAACACAGAAAUAAGAUAUUGAAUUUUUAUCAAAUUAUUAUUUUAUUUUAAUUUAAAUAUUUUGCUCUAAUAUUGUUUAUUUAAAAUGGCUAAUAUGUUAAUUUAGAUUAUAUUUUAAAAUGUACCACUUUCUUUAAAAAAUAAUUAAAAACUUAAAUAAAUUAUUACCUGUGUCUCUAGCUAAACUAAAACUUUAUCCUACUGGCUUUCCAAGUUCUGUCUUUCGGCCUUUUUAUUGUUUUAUUUGGGUUUUUUGCUGCACCCUCAAUUUUUCUUCCUCCACCCUAAUUUUCUCUAAAACCCUUUAUUACCUUUUCAUAUUUAGGUAUGGUAAAAAUCUAAAACCUAAUUUCUCUCUUAUAUUUAUUUCCUCACAACACUCAUCCCAACCCCAAGCACACAACACAACAUUUUUAAUUUCUCUCUCUAGUUUCACCUUCUCCGCCAUCCUACAUCCCACAACACACUCUUUACCUGUUUCACUUUUUCAAAACUCAUUUUUCACUCUUUCCUUCACCACACAUGCUCUAACCUCUCUUUCCC
This 579-nucleotide long non-coding RNA is filed under the name Vigna radiata. RNAcentral's name for it is "long non-coding RNA (VRAD_LNC017515)". Lineage: Eukaryota; Viridiplantae; Streptophyta; Magnoliopsida; Fabales; Fabaceae. The record is from RNAcentral.